AGAGUUUGAUCCUGGCUCAGAUUGAACGCUGGUGGUAUGCUUAACACAUGCAAGUCGGACGAAGUUUAAAGUAACUUGUUACUUAAAACUUAGUGGCGGACGGGUGAGUAACACGUAGGAAUCUGCCUUAUAGAAUGGGAUAACAGUUAGAAAUAGCUGCUAAUACCAUAUGUUGCCUUACGGUAAAAGGUGGCUCUUCGGAGCUGUCGCUAUAAGAUGAGCCUGCGGUAGAUUAGCUAGUUGGUAAGGUAAAUGCUUACCAAGGCUACGAUCUAUAGCUGUUCUGAGAGGAAGAUCAGCCACACUGGGAUUGAGAUACGGCCCAGACUCCUACGGGAGGCAGCAGUGGGGAAUAUUGGACAAUGGGGGAAACCCUGAUCCAGCAAUACCAUGUGUGUGAAGAAGGCCUUAGGGUUGUAAAGCACUUUAGUUGGGGAGAAAUCCUGUUAAAUUAAUAGUUUUUCAGGUUGAUGUUACCCAAAGAAUAAGCACCGGCAAACUCCGUGCCAGCAGCCGCGGUAAUACGGGGGGUGCGAGCGUUAAUCGGAAUUAUUGGGCGUAAAGAGUUCGUAGGUUGUUAGAUGAGUUAGAUGUGAAAUCCCUAAGCUUAACUUAGGUAGUGCAUUUAAUACUGUCUAGCUAGAGUUUGGCAGAGGAAUGGGGAAUUUCCGGUGUAGCAGUGAAAUGCAUAGAUAUCGGAAGGAACACCAGUGGCGAAGGCGACAUUCUGGGCUAAAACUGACACUGAGGAACGAAAGCGUGGGGAGCAAACAGGAUUAGAUACCCUGGUAGUCCACGCCGUAAACGAUGAUUACUAGCUGUUGAGAUCGGUGUUAUGGUCUUAGUAGCGCAGCUAACGCUAUAAGUAAUCCGCCUGGGGAGUACGGCCGCAAGGUUAAAACUCAAAGAAAUUGACGGGGACCCGCACAAGCGGUGGAACAUGUGGUUUAAUUCGAUGCAACGCGAAAAACCUUACCUACUCUUGACAUCCUAAGAAUAACAAAGAGAUUUGUUAGUGCCUUCGGGAACUUAGAGACAGGUGCUGCAUGGCUGUCGUCAGCUCGUGUUGUGAAAUGUUGGGUUAAGUCCCGCAACGAGCGCAACCCUUAUCUUUAGUUGCCAGCACGUCAAGGUGGGCACUCUAGAGAGACUGCCGCUGAUAAAGCGGAGGAAGGUGGGGACGAGGUCAAGUCAUCAUGGCCCUUAUGAGUAGGGCUACACACGUGUUACAAUGGGUAUUACAAAGGGCAGCUAAGGAGCAAUCCGGUGCGAAACUCAGAAAAAUACUCUUAGUCCGGAUUGCAGUCUGCAACUCGACUGCAUGAAGUCGGAAUCGCUAGUAAUCGCGAAUCAGCAUGUCGCGGUGAAUACGUUCCCGGGUCUUGUACACACCGCCCGUCACACCAUGGAAGUUUGUUGCAAAAGAAGUAAGUAGUCUAACCGCAAGGAGGGCGCUUACCACUUUGUGAUUAAUGACUGGGGUGAAGUCGUAACAAGGUAACC
This 1503-nucleotide ribosomal RNA is filed under the name uncultured bacterium. Its description in RNAcentral is "bacterial SSU rRNA". It matches the Rfam family "Bacterial small subunit ribosomal RNA". The record is from RNAcentral.